Molecule: long non-coding RNA, 528 nt
Filed under: Monodelphis domestica (gray short-tailed opossum)
Lineage: Eukaryota; Metazoa; Chordata; Mammalia; Didelphimorphia; Didelphidae
Description: lncRNA (ENSMODG00000040271.1)
Source: RNAcentral
AGCCAGGUGUAGGAUUUAUGAAGUGAAAUAAAUGUUGCUUUAAGAUUGCCACGGAAUUCUGAGUAAGUCAGAGGAAGAGAAUUUUCCAGAGCCUUAGGAGAGGCAGUUGGUAAAAAUGACACCACUUCUGGGAGAGAGACUCAGAGGCUGGUUGGUCCUGGUUUUUCCCUCUGAUCAUCCUUGAGGAUAUUGGUGAAGAUUGAAUUUGAAACCAGCUUGAUAUUAAGAUAUUAAGAAACUUGGAAAGAUGACUGAUCAGAAAGCAGGAGUUACUGUGCCCCAUUCUGAGGUAUUCCUUUGGUGGUCACCAGAGAGCAACUGCUUUGAGAGCUCAUCCUCUAAAGAGAAUGCAAAAGCGAAUCUCACCAGAAUCCAAAAGGAAGGAAUCACUCUACUCAACACCACAAGAUCCAAGGAAAGAGUAUUUUCCAGUCUGGCUCACCAAUGCAGAGUAAGAGACUGAAUCCUUGAGCUGACCUUUUUAAAGCAGUUUUCUCGAAGUUACUUUCUGUUGCUCCCCCACUUUAU